Molecule: ribosomal RNA, 492 nt
Filed under: uncultured bacterium
Lineage: Bacteria
Description: partial 16S ribosomal RNA
Rfam family: Bacterial small subunit ribosomal RNA
Source: RNAcentral
AGUGAACGCUGGCGGUAGGCCUAACACAUGCAAGUCGAACGGCAGCACAGUAAGAGCUUGCUCUUACGGGUGGCGAGUGGCGGACGGGUGAGGAAUACAGCGGAAUCUACUUUUUCGUGGGGGAUAACGUAGGGAAACUUACGCUAAUACCGCAUACGACCUACGGGUGAAAGCAGGGGAUCUUCGUACCUUGCGCGAUUGAAUGAGCCGAUGUCGGAUUAGCUAGUUGGCGGGGUAAAGGCCCACCAAGGCGACGAUCCGUAGCUGGUCUGAGAGGAUGAUCAGCCACACUGGAACUGAGCCACGGUCCAGACUCCUACGGGAGGCAGCAGUGGGGAAUAUUGGACAAUGGGCGCAAGACUGCUCCAGCCAUACCGCGUGGGUGCAGCAGGCCUUCGGGUUGUAAAGCCCUUUUGUUGGGAAAGAAAAGCAGCAGGUUAAUACCCCGCUGUUCUGACGGUACCCAAAGAAUAAGCACCGGCUAACUUCGUG